This 561-nucleotide ribosomal RNA is filed under the name uncultured bacterium. Its description in RNAcentral is "bacterial SSU rRNA". It matches the Rfam family "Bacterial small subunit ribosomal RNA", at positions 338 to 893 of the family's 1533-position model. The record is from RNAcentral.
CCUACGGGAGGCAGCAGUGGGGAAUAUUGGACAAUGGGCGCAAGCCUGAUCCAGCCAUACCGCGUGGGUGAAGAAGGCCUUCGGGUUGUAAAGCCCUUUUGUUGGGAAAGAAAUCCAGCCGGCUAAUACCUGGUUGGGAUGACGGUACCCAAAGAAUAAGCACCGGCUAACUUCGUGCCAGCAGCCGCGGUAAUACGAAGGGUGCAAGCGUUACUCGGAAUUACUGGGCGUAAAGCGUGCGUAGGUGGUUAUUUAAGUCCGUUGUGAAAGCCCUGGGCUCAACCUGGGAACUGCAGUGGAUACUGGAUGACUAGAAUGUGGUAGAGGGUAGCGGAAUUCCUGGUGUAGCAGUGAAAUGCGUAGAGAUCAGGAGGAACAUCCAUGGCGAAGGCAGCUACCUGGACCAACAUUGACACUGAGGCACGAAAGCGUGGGGAGCAAACAGGAUUAGAUACCCUGGUAGUCCACGCCCUAAACGAUGCGAACUGGAUGUUGGGUGCAAUUUGGCACGCAGUAUCGAAGCUAACGCGUUAAGUUCGCCGCCUGGGGAUCGGUGCAAGC